RNAcentral lists this non-coding RNA (110 nucleotides) under bovine gut metagenome. Its description in RNAcentral is "FMN riboswitch (RFN element)". It matches the Rfam family "FMN riboswitch aptamer (RFN element)". From Rfam's summary of the family: The RFN element is a highly conserved domain that is found frequently in the 5'-untranslated regions of prokaryotic mRNAs that encode for flavin mononucleotide (FMN) biosynthesis and transport proteins. The record is from RNAcentral.
UGUCUUCGGGGUUGGGUGUAAUUCCCUACCGGCAGUAAAGUCUGCGAAGCCCUGUGCGGCCCGAACCGGUGUAAUUCCGGUACCGACAGUAUAGUCUGGAUGAGAGAAGU